CUUAGUCCCUCUAGGUGGUUGAGUUUAGAAUAUUAGAGUCUCUUCUGGAUUAGUUGCGCUUAUUGUUUGUUCCUUCUUGAUCAACAUGAAUAUGAAUCAAGAUAUUCCCGCACUCAGAAGGUGUUUGAUGGAAUGUCGGAUCUAUUAAUUCCAAUGAUAUUCGUCUCUAUCCCAAGGGAUUGGCCGUUUAGAGCGGGUAUU
This 201-nucleotide small RNA is filed under the name Arabidopsis thaliana (thale cress). Its description in RNAcentral is "ATSL265280". Lineage: Eukaryota; Viridiplantae; Streptophyta; Magnoliopsida; Brassicales; Brassicaceae. The record is from RNAcentral.